UAACUUUACAUAUUUCACAAAAGUUUUUGAAUAAGACGAACGGUCAAACAUGUGCUAAAAAGUCAACGGUGUCAAACAUUUCAAAACGGAGGGAGUAUAUUAAUUAGACUGUGUCAUCUGAGAUGUGACCAUACUACUGAUCAUAUGUUCAGGCAUGCCGCUGGAGGUAUACAAUGUGAGUCGGCAUCAGCUUUUGUUCUCUCUGAAGGAUUCCACUUAGGAGUAUGUACGUGAGUUAUGCCAAAAGAAUGUAAAGCCAGGCUGCCAAACGUCACCAAGGCAAGCCAAAUAGAGACAGAGCUAAUAGAUUCUUCUGACUUUGGAAAACCAGCGAUUAUUAAAUAAAUUGUAACCUCUAAAACUCCCAGGAAUAAUGGCGACUGUUAGGUUCUGUAUCAGUUUGCUUUUGUACUAUCCUGAAUACUAAAUCCGUCCUAAAAUAAAUGCAGCCAUAAAUAUCCGUGUUUAGCGCUUUGACCAUCCGUCUUAUUUAAAAAAUUUAUGAAAAAUAUUAAAAAAAUUAGUCACACAUAAAGUACUAUUCAUGUUUUAUUAUCUAAUAACAAUAAAAAUACCUCUUUUUUUAAAUAAGACGAACAGUCAAACGUUGAACAUGAAUAGCGCUAAAACUGCACUUAUUUUGGGACGGAGGGAGUAUAUGCUAUUUUUCCUCACAAGUAUCUCAGUACUAUGAAAGAUGUGGUGCAGAUGAAGAAGAGAUUCAGACAUUCAGUACCGUGAGGUCAAAGCUGUCUUUGUACUUUUGUCAUGUAAACUGCAGGUUUAAUUCCAUAUUGUUUCAACC
Molecule: long non-coding RNA, 805 nt
Organism: Oryza sativa Japonica Group (Japanese rice)
Lineage: Eukaryota; Viridiplantae; Streptophyta; Magnoliopsida; Poales; Poaceae
Source: RefSeq, a predicted model, not a curated record